RNAcentral lists this ribosomal RNA (253 nucleotides) under uncultured prokaryote. RNAcentral describes it as "partial 16S ribosomal RNA". It matches the Rfam family "Bacterial small subunit ribosomal RNA", at positions 524 to 776 of the family's 1533-position model. The record is from RNAcentral.
UACGGGGGGGGCAAGCGUUGUUCGGAAUUACUGGGCGUAAAGGGCUCGUAGGCGGCCAACUAAGUCGGAUGUGAAAUCCCCGGGCUCAACCUGGGAACUGCGCUUGUGACUGCAAGGCUAGAGUACGGCAGAGGGGGGUGGAAUUCCACGUGUAGCAGUGAAAUGCGUAGAGAUGUGGAGGAACACCAAUGGCGAAGGCAGCCCCCUGGGUCGAUACUGACGCUCAUGCACGAAAGCGUGGGUAGCAAACAGG